GACCAGUGCUUCUCUACCCCAGCUCUCCACCAAGGUGUGAUAGGGAGAGUCAAGCCCAAAAUAUCAACCAAUCUCAGAAGAAAGCUGAAUCUCGGCAUCUGAGGGAAGCUUUUUUUGCAGAUGAAAAGGAUGUGUGAAUCAUCGACUGAACUGAGCAGAAGAAAACGUGCCUCGAGGGUCAAAAGCAGAAUUAUUGUCAUAGAAUCAGGACAAAAUGGGGGUCUAGGCAUUUCAGUAUUUAUUUCCUUAAAUAUUUUUGGAGUUCAA
This is a long non-coding RNA of Ornithorhynchus anatinus (platypus), 267 nucleotides long. RefSeq lists it as uncharacterized. The record is from RefSeq and is a predicted model, not a curated record. The transcript has 2 exons. NCBI's taxonomy places the organism in Eukaryota, Metazoa, Chordata, Mammalia, Monotremata, Ornithorhynchidae.